RNAcentral lists this transfer RNA (71 nucleotides) under Loxodonta africana (African savanna elephant). It matches the Rfam family "tRNA". Rfam says of the family: Transfer RNA (tRNA) molecules are approximately 80 nucleotides in length. Their secondary structure includes four short double-helical elements and three loops (D, anti-codon, and T loops). Lineage: Eukaryota; Metazoa; Chordata; Mammalia; Proboscidea; Elephantidae. The record is from Rfam by way of RNAcentral.
GAAGUGGUGAUUCAGUGGCAGAGUUCUCACCUUGCAUGCAGGUGACCUGGGUUCGAAUCCCAGCCAAUGCA